Molecule: long non-coding RNA, 195 nt
Organism: Sphaeramia orbicularis (orbiculate cardinalfish)
Lineage: Eukaryota; Metazoa; Chordata; Actinopteri; Kurtiformes; Apogonidae
Exons: 3
Source: RefSeq, a predicted model, not a curated record
UCCAAUGAACAUUUCUCCAAGUACGACAUAAUUGUUUGUGAGCAGCAGCGGUUGUAGUAAAAACUGAAAAUACGUCCAAACUUUGAGCCGAUUACCUAAAAUGUUCAGUUGUUGGUUGCAUUAACAAACACGAGUGGCUGAACAGGUCAGACAGCACAGUCAAAACCUGGAGGGGGUGGGGGGGCUCAUAAUGUG